Molecule: ribosomal RNA, 117 nt
Filed under: uncultured bacterium
Lineage: Bacteria
Description: partial 16S ribosomal RNA
Rfam family: Bacterial small subunit ribosomal RNA
Source: RNAcentral
UACGGUGAAUACGUUCCCGGACCUUGCACACACCGCCCGUCAAGCCAUGGAAGCCGGGUGUACCUAAAGUCGGUAACCGUAAAGGAGCCGCCUAGGGUAAAACUGGUGACUGGGGCU